Long non-coding RNA from Trachymyrmex septentrionalis, 180 nucleotides. RefSeq lists it as uncharacterized. NCBI's taxonomy places the organism in Eukaryota, Metazoa, Arthropoda, Insecta, Hymenoptera, Formicidae. The record is from RefSeq and is a predicted model, not a curated record. The transcript is spliced from 3 exons.
GUGCUUUACAGAAUCUUGUUAACUCAUAUUAAAAAUGAGGUUAAAUCUAUGUUGUUAUUACUUUGUCGCAAAAUCAACUUGUGUACCACAACUCCGUUGCUGCGCAUCGUAUAUAUCUCGCAGCGGGAGGAAUGUCGGUGCGAGACGCUCUUCGUUGGCAGGAUUCUCACGAUGCCGCAC